ACUCCUACGGGAGGCAGCAGUGGGGAAUAUUGCACAAUGGGCGCAAGCCUGAUGCAGCCAUGCCGCGUGUAUGAAGAAGGCCUUCGGGUUGUAAAGUACUUUCAGCAGUGAGGAAGGUGGAUAUGUUAAUAGCAUAUUCAUUUGACGUUAGCUGCAGAAGAAGCACCGGCUAACUCCGUGCCAGCAGCCGCGGUAAUACGGAGGGUGCGAGCGUUAAUCGGAAUUACUGGGCGUAAAGCGCAUGCAGGUGGUUUGUUAAGUCAGAUGUGAAAGCCCGGGGCUCAACCUCGGAAUUGCAUUUGAAACUGGCAAACUAGAGUACUGUAGAGGGGGGUAGAAUUUCAGGUGUAGCGGUGAAAUGCGUAGAGAUCUGAAGGAAUACCGGUGGCGAAGGCGGCCCCCUGGACAGAUACUGACACUCAGAUGCGAAAGCGUGGGGAGCAAACAGGAUUAGAUACCCUGGUAGGUCUG
RNAcentral lists this ribosomal RNA (471 nucleotides) under uncultured bacterium. Its description in RNAcentral is "bacterial SSU rRNA". It matches the Rfam family "Bacterial small subunit ribosomal RNA", at positions 335 to 797 of the family's 1533-position model. The record is from RNAcentral.